RNAcentral lists this ribosomal RNA (429 nucleotides) under uncultured archaeon. Its description in RNAcentral is "bacterial SSU rRNA". It matches the Rfam family "Archaeal small subunit ribosomal RNA", at positions 474 to 903 of the family's 1478-position model. The record is from RNAcentral.
UACCAGCUCUCCGAGUGGUGUGGAUGUUUAUUGGGCCUAAAGCAUCCGUAGCUGGCCAAGUUAGUCCCCUGUUAAAUCCACCGAAUUAAUCGUUGGAGUGCGUGGGAUACUGCUCGGCUAGGGGACGGGAGAGGCCGACGGUAUUUUCGGGGUAGGGGUGAAAUCCUAUAAUCCCGGGAAGACCACCAGUGGCGAAGGCUGUCGGCUAGAACGCGCCCGACGGUGAGGGAUGAAAGCUGGGGGAGCGAACCGGAUUAGAUACCCGGGUAGUCCCAGCUGUAAACGAUGCAGGCUAGGUGUUUGGGCGGCCACGGGCCGCUCUAGUGCCGCAAGGAAGCUGUUAAGCCUGCCGCCUGGGGAGUACGGCAGCAAGGCUGAAACUUAAAGGAAUUGGCGGGGGAGCACCACAAGGGGUGAAGCUUGCGGUUU